AUCUCAGCUCACUGCAACCUCCGCCUCCCUGGUUCAAGCGAUUCUCCUGCCUCAGCCUCCCAAGUAGCUGGGAUUACAGGCAUUAGGCACCGUGCCCAGCCAGGACUAAGAAUAUUUAACAUGGAGACUAUUUGCAAAGAUUAUGCUGAUUUUUAAAAAGGCUGACUUGUGGAAAAAAAAAAUUUAAUCUUUAUCAGUCCAGCCAGACAAAUAGGUUGAAGUUACAGGAAACAAUUUUAGAAACUAUAAAAGGAAGAUCUUUAUCAGUAAAACUCUCCAAUAAGCUUUCUGGUCACUGGAAGUGUAGGAAAGGCUACACGAGUAUCUAUAGGUCUAUCAGUUUUUGACAAGUACUGUAUGUAAUAAUUCUUUUGGAAUAAAAAUAUCCAUGAUAUGUGAUAUAUGUAACUUUAAUCACAAAUCAUAAUGAUGCUUGACUUCUUGCACA
This 448-nucleotide long non-coding RNA is filed under the name Homo sapiens (human). RNAcentral describes it as "non-protein coding lnc-HMBOX1-3:1". Lineage: Eukaryota; Metazoa; Chordata; Mammalia; Primates; Hominidae. The record is from RNAcentral.